This 1327-nucleotide long non-coding RNA is filed under the name Macaca nemestrina (pig-tailed macaque). RNAcentral's name for it is "lncRNA (ENSMNEG00000045970.1)". Lineage: Eukaryota; Metazoa; Chordata; Mammalia; Primates; Cercopithecidae. The record is from RNAcentral.
UCCAGAUAAUUCUAGUGCCCAAUCCUUCAAGUCUUGUCGGGCUGCUCAAGCCUUCCCAUCUGGGGCCCCAGACAUGAGGAAGCCCUCCCUACUCUGCCCUGAGUGCCUGAUCCUCAGAACCUGUGAGCGUAAUAAAAUGGGCCUGUUCCGUGUCCCUAAAUGAGGGGGGUCUGGUGCACAGCAGUAAAGAACCAGAAUGCCCCUCAUUCACAAAGACUCUGGCAACACUGCAGUUUCCAUCUCCUUCCAGAUCGGCUAUCCCCUGGGAGACUUCAGUGUCACACAAAUGACCUCUCACUGCCAACACUCUGACCUCCCAGUCCUUGACCUCCUCACCCACAGCAAUGUCCUCACCUAAGUCACCUGGGCUAACUCUUCCAGUGAACAAACGGCAGGGUCUGGGAGUUUUAAGGGACACCGCGAGGGCUGUUAUAAGGUAAAUGGAGGCUUCCUCUUGUAGCCCCUCCAAAGGUCCUGUGCCUCCCCCUAGCGUUGUCAUCAUGCAGGAUAUUGGGAAGAGCAGCAGGUCACAAAGUCACCGUGUCAAGCCUCCUGUCAAUCAUAACAGGGAAUUCAUAACAGAGUUGGGGUGGGAGGUGGGGAAUUGGCAUCAUUCGCUCCGGCUUCUGAGCCGGUGCCUCCGGCUUUUCACCAGCACUUGAUUCCGUCUCAGACCAAAUAUGCGGAUGUCCUUCGUCACCUACUCCAUGGACUGUGACACCGUCUUGCUGCUCACCUCAGACAAGCAAUUCGGCAGAUGGAAAAUUUCAACUCCACAUACAACAAGGUUUCCAGCAUGAUUAUUGCUAUGACCGAUGGAACAAUGAUGAAACAUCCAUUUUUGGACACUCUCAAAGAAAUCCUACCAUGUGGUUAUUCAUGGAAAUGGCUUUCAGACUCUAAAGAAACAAGACGAAGUUAUUUGCAGAUUUAUCUUCAAACGAAAGCACUAUCAUUGGUAAGUUGUCUCCUCGGUGCCUCUGAGUCACGUAUUUCCCAUACAAUACUGCCUUUCCCCACAGCCAGCCAAGCCUCCCAGCCCUUGCCAGCUGUUCCCUGUGGACCCUGUGGGGUUAGAGGCCAUGAGGACAAGUGGAAGGAGGUACUGGGAAGCCCGGCCACCCCUCCCUUCAUCUGCCAAGCGGGGAAGUAACAAAUCCCAAGAGAGCAUCUCAGAUCAGGGCUUCCCCCUCAGUGAGGCUGGGUUUAGGACUGGUUCUGCCAUCACAGCUGCAUCUGCCCACCUUAGCCUCAGUUUCCCCUUCCCUUGAGAGCCCAGGACCCGAAGCCCACAAGGCUACUCCUGGGAAAUGGUGGCAGCCCUGGA